RNAcentral lists this ribosomal RNA (999 nucleotides) under Lactobacillus sp. JN05. RNAcentral's name for it is "bacterial SSU rRNA". It matches the Rfam family "Bacterial small subunit ribosomal RNA", at positions 36 to 999 of the family's 1533-position model. The record is from RNAcentral. Lineage: Bacteria; Bacillati; Bacillota; Bacilli; Lactobacillales; Lactobacillaceae.
CGGGCGGCGUGCUAUACAUGCAAGUCGAACGCAAUCUUUAGACUACAUGAGUGCUUGCACUCAGCAGGUUCAAAGUGCGAGUGGCGAACGGGUGAGUAACACGUGGGCAAUCUGCCCAAAAGUGGGGGAUAACACUUGGAAACAGGUGCUAAUACCGCAUCAACCGGCUGACCGCAUGGUCGGCCGGGCAAAGACGGCGUCAGCUGUCGCUUUUGGAUGAGCCCGCGGCGUAUUAACUAGUUGGUAAGGUAACGGCUUACCAAGGUGAUGAUACGUAGCCGAACUGAGAGGUUGAUCGGCCACAUUGGGACUGAGACACGGCCCAAACUCCUACGGGAGGCAGCAGUAGGGAAUCUUCCACAAUGGACGCAAGUCUGAUGGAGCAACGCCGCGUGUAUGAAGAAGGUCUUCGGAUCGUAAAAUACUGUUGUCAGAGAAGAACACGUGAUAGAGUAACUGCUAUGGCGCUGACGGUAUCUGACCAGCAAGUCACGGCUAACUACGUGCCAGCAGCCGCGGUAAUACGUAGGUGGCAAGCGUUGUCCGGAUUUAUUGGGCGUAAAGGGAACGCAGGCGGUCUUUUAAGUCUGAUGUGAAAGCCUUCGGCUUAACCGGAGAAGUGCAUUGGAAACUGGAAGACUUGAGUGCAGAAGAGGAGAGUGGAACUCCAUGUGUAGCGGUGAAAUGCGUAGAUAUAUGGAAGAACACCAGUGGCGAAAGCGGCUCUCUGGUCUGUAACUGACGCUGAGGUUCGAAAGCGUGGGGAGCGAACAGGAUUAGAUACCCUGGUAGUCCACGCUGUAAACGAUGAAUGCUAGGUGUUGGAGGGUUUCCGCCCUUCGGUGCCGCAGCUAACGCACUAAGCAUUCCGCCUGGGGAGUACGAUCGCAAGAUUGAAACUCAAAGGAAUUGACGGGGGCCCGCACAAGCGGUGGAGCAUGUGGUUUAAUUCGAAGCAACGCGAAGAACCUUACCAGGUCUUGACAUCUUUUGACCAUC